CGUAAAGUCCUUUUCUGAGGGAAGAAAUGCCGGGGGAGGAAAUGCCUUCGACUUGACGGUACCUCAGGAAUAAGCAACGGCUAAGUCCGUGCCAGCAAUCGCGGUAAUACGUAAGUUGCAAGCGUUGUUCGGAAUGACUGGGCGUAGCUGGAGUGCAGGCGGGCAGGUCAGUCUGAAGUGAAAGCCCGGGGCUCAACCCCGGAAUUGCUUUGGAUACUGUCUGGCUUGAGUGUGCGAGAGGAAAGCGGAAUUCCAGGUGUAGCGGUGAAAUGCGUAGAUGUCAGGAGGAACACCGGUGGCGAAUGCAGAUUUCUGGCGCAUAACUAUCUCUGAGGCUCGAAAGCCUGGGGAGCGACCGGGCAUGAGAUACCACGGUAGUACACACCGUCAACGUCGUGCACUAGUUCUGGGAGGAAUCGACCCUUUCCGUGCCCGGAGCUUACCGCAUUAAGUGCACCGCCUGGGGAGUACGCUCGCAAGACUGAAACUCAAAGGAAGUGACGGGGGCCCGCACAAACGGUGGAGCAUGUGGUCUAAUUAGAGGCAACGCGAAGCACCUUACCCAGGCUUGACAUCCCGAGAC
Molecule: ribosomal RNA, 583 nt
Filed under: uncultured organism
Description: bacterial SSU rRNA
Rfam family: Bacterial small subunit ribosomal RNA
Source: RNAcentral